CCAGACUCCUACGGGAGGCAGCAGUGGGGAAUAUUGCACAAUGGGGGGAACCCUGAUGCAGCGACGCCGCGUGAGUGAAGAAGUAUUUCGGUAUGUAAAGCUCUAUCAGCAGGGAAGAAAAUGACAGUACCUGACUAAGAAGCCCCGGCUAACUACGUGCCAGCAGCCGCGGUAAUACGUAGGGGGCAAGCGUUAUCCGGAUUUACUGGGUGUAAAGGGGGCGCAGACGGCGAUGCAAGCCAGGAGUGAAAGCCCGGGGCCCAACCCCGGGACUGCUCUUGGAACUGCGUGGCUGGAGUGCAGGAGGGGCAGGCGGAAUUCCUGGUGUAGCGGUGAAAUGCGUAGAUAUCAGGAGGAACACCGGUGGCGAAGGCGGCCUGCUGGACGAUGACUGACGCUGAGGCUCGAAAGCGUGGGGAGCAAACAGGAUUAGAUACCCGCGUAC
Molecule: ribosomal RNA, 445 nt
Filed under: uncultured bacterium
Lineage: Bacteria
Description: partial 16S ribosomal RNA
Rfam family: Bacterial small subunit ribosomal RNA
Source: RNAcentral